CACGCUCGUCAAAUGUGACAAAUUCCAACCCUCCUAACAUGUGCAACCAUAUGCAUAUUGAUGAAAGUAACACAACUUUGUUUGAUUAUGAAUUGAUAAAUGAUAUUCGAUAUAAUAAAUAAUACUUGUCUAACUUGUCCACAAACGAAAACUGUCAAAGUUAUGAAGAAGAAAACUAAGCAAUCUUUAAUUAAUGUAAGAUGUGACCUCAAUAAUGUAAUAUUUAUUUCAUGAUCAAUUCAUGUAAUAUAGUUAAAAAUAUCCUAUGAUUUUUUUUUUUUUUGCAAAAAUAACAUUUUCAAACAAGUUCUGUGAUAAAUUUCUAGCAUUUAAUGAAUUUGCUGGCUCCCUGCAGCUACUAAAGAAGAAAUAUAUAGUAUUCAUAUUCUCAUGGUUCAGCUGGAAAGUUGAAUUAAAAAUUUAGUCAAAUCAAUAAUUCAUUUCAAUAACGUAUUUUAUUGGAUCCACAAUUUUUCAAACACAAAUUCUAUCAACUUUUAUCAAAAUAUACUAAAAAUCUGAUUUUUAUAUAAAUCAAACAGGGGAUAAGAACUUUAGACUUAUCAAUAAGUGAUAAAAUUUACUGGUUUAAAUCUAGUUUUUCAAUCCUUAAAUAGCUAUACGAGACGUUUGGUAUUUCGAAUCAUAACUGUAUAAACGCAGUACUCUGUACCGAACAUAGACUCUUAUGUAAAGUAACAAAGGAACGAUCUUCAAGUCGCUAAAGCCGGCCUUCUUCCUUUCCUUUGUGCAUCUCAUCGCAUGUCACAAAGAUAUAAGCAGCGUAUUCUGAUUCAGGUGCGAAAACUGCAGAAUGGGUUCACCUGUAAGAUUUGAGAAUAGCCCCACAAAAACUGCAGAUUAUAGCCUUCCAAGAUUUCCAAUAAAAUGGGAUAUAACAAAAUCUUGUCAUGGUUUUCAUAUCCGCCACCCUCGCGCCGUGGCUGCAACGCGAACACAUUCCGGCCACCGGCUUGCUCUUCUUGAUUACCCUCUUCUGAUCCACCAAAAAGCAGAAACAAACCAUCAAAAAAAAUUUUUUUACUCAACUUUUCUUCUUAUUCAAGAGAAUAAUAUGACUGUCUUCUCUCUAUCUCUCUCUACAUAUAUACACACAGAUAAGAGGUUAGAGAUAUGUUGGGUGCGUAGGGGGAUAGAGGGUGGUGAUAUGGGCCGCAAAUCUAGUGGUUGGCGGGACUUUGUGAAGGAAAAAC
This 1214-nucleotide long non-coding RNA is filed under the name Olea europaea subsp. europaea. Lineage: Eukaryota; Viridiplantae; Streptophyta; Magnoliopsida; Lamiales; Oleaceae. The record is from RNAcentral.